AGAGUUUGAUCCUGGCUCAGGGUGAACGCUAGUAGUAUGCUUAACACAUGCAAGUUGAACGGAGAUUUUCGUAGCGAACGGGUGAGGAAAGCACAGAAUGCUACCUUUUAGUUUAGCACAACAAAUAAUUACUAUGUAACUAUUUAAAUACUAAAUAAAUUUAUAAAGGUUCUAUUUUUUUAAAAUAUGUUCCGCUAAAAGACGGGUCUGUGUAAGAUUAGGUAGUUGGUAAAUUUAACAGCUUACCAAGCCUUCGAUCUUUAGUUGGUCUUAGAGGACGAUCAACCACACUGGAACUGAAACAAGGUCCAGGCUGAAUUUUCGGCCAGCAGUGAGGAAUAUUGGACAAUGAACGCAAGUUUGAUCCAGCAAUACUAUCUGAAUGAAGACGGCUUUUUUAGUUGUAAAGUUCUUUCGUUAAGAAUGAUAAUGACAUUACUUAAAGAAGUUUAGUCCCGGCUAAUACUCGUGCCAGCAGCCGCGGUAAUACGGGAGGGGCAAGCGUUAUCCGGCAUAACUGGGCGUAAAGAGUCCGUAGACUGUAAAAUAAGUUGCUUGUUAAAAUUUAAAGCCUAACUUUAAAAUAGCUUGUAAUACUGUUUUACUUGAGUUUUAUACAGAAGAGUAGAAUUUUAUACGAAAGGGUAAAAUCUAAAAAUAUAUAAAGGAAUACCAGUAGCGAAGGCGACUCUUUGGUAAAAACUGACGUUGAGGGACGAAAGUAUGGGUAGCAAACAGGAUUAGAUACCCUGGUAGUCCAUACUGUAAACGAUGAGUGCUGUGAUUUAAUGUAAGUUACGUGGUAUUAAGGAAUACAUACUGUUAUAAAACACUUAUUUAGAUUUUUAAGCUAACGCUAUAAGCACUCCGCCUGAGAAGUACGAUCGCAAGGUUGGAACUCAAAGGAAUUGACGGGGGCUAAUACUAGUGGUGGAGCAUGUGGUUUAAUGCGAUAAUCCGCGCAAAACCUUACCAAUCCUUGAAUAAUAGCUCUAGUAUGUUUUGCACCUUUAGGCAAAUGUAACAAUACAAACAACUUUUACAGGUGCUGCACGGCUGUCGUCAGCUCGUGUCGUGAGAUGUUUGGUUAACUCCCUAAACGGGCGUAACUCUUGUCUUUAAUAUAGUGUUCUACUGAUUUUUAAAAUUAUCUAAAAUUUUAAAAUAAGCUUUAGAGAUACUGUCAACGAUAAGUUGAAGGAAGGUGAGAACUAAGUCAAGUCAGUGUGACCCUGAUGGAUUGGGCUACACAUGUGCUACAAUGAAAGUCACAAAAAGUUACAAAAAGUUAUAUCUUUUCGUUAAUCUUCAAAAAUUUUCCCAGUUCGGAUUGUAAGCUGAAACUCGCUUAUAUGAAGUUGGAAUCACUAGUAAUCGCAAAUCAGAGCGUUGCGGUGAAUAUGUCGAUUAGCCUUGUACACACCGCCCGUCACAUGCAGAGAAUCAGUUUUGCUUGAAGAUUUAACUAAGUUAAAUCCAUUGAGAAAUUGGUAAUUUGGAUGAAGUCGUAACAAGGUAACCGU
RNAcentral lists this ribosomal RNA (1523 nucleotides) under uncultured bacterium. Its description in RNAcentral is "bacterial SSU rRNA". It matches the Rfam family "Bacterial small subunit ribosomal RNA". The record is from RNAcentral.